UAAAAAAAAUACAGAACUUGAGGGUUUAAGUUUUAAUUAUUCAUGAUCAUGACAUUGGAAUAAUAAUGCUUUAGUUGUUCGCGACAUUUCGUUUAUUUCGGCGAUGAAAUUAUGUACCUCUCACAUUUCAAUCACAGGAAUUCUUUAGCAAUGAAUGAUGAAAAACCUGAUUCAGCUGCUUCCAAAGAUGCAAAAUAGGAGAAAUUUUUGAUUUCCAUUCUUCCAUAUUGGUUUUGUUCAGGAUGUUUUGAUACUUCAAGACUAAAAUUAUAUGGCCAAUCGUUCGACUACGGUUUGGAGACGAGAUAUGUAUUGAUCAACAGCUGAGCUAUCAGACCAUGUGACGGAAUUUUCAGACUUGACUAAUUUCGACAGAUCCAUCGCUGAUGACAACAUCAUCGGACGCUGAGAAGGUAUCAUUCGAUCACCGAUUGUGUUAUGGAAAUUGGCAACCUGGAAAAUUUGAAACUUGGGUUGAAAAAACAAGCAUCUUUUGAAAUAAAAAGGACGAUCUGUUGCGGAUUCAGCUCAUUAGCCAGCUCACCUUUUGCUCAAUAAGGAUUUCAGAUCCAGUGAAAUCAAUGCAUAAAAGGAGCGCUUUUCUAUCGUUGAGAAAAUUAUCGACGAUCUCAUUUUUAUAGACUUUUUCUGAAUUUUCGACCGAUUUGCCGAAAUAAUUUUCUGUGUAAAAUAAAAUUUAUUUAGUUUUACAUAAAUAAUUAUGUAGUAA
This is a long non-coding RNA of Planococcus citri (citrus mealybug), 730 nucleotides long. RefSeq lists it as uncharacterized. The transcript has 4 exons. Lineage: Eukaryota; Metazoa; Arthropoda; Insecta; Hemiptera; Pseudococcidae. The record is from RefSeq and is a predicted model, not a curated record.